This 1744-nucleotide unclassified non-coding RNA is filed under the name Hevea brasiliensis (rubber tree). Lineage: Eukaryota; Viridiplantae; Streptophyta; Magnoliopsida; Malpighiales; Euphorbiaceae. The record is from RNAcentral.
GGUUACCAACAAUGCUCAAGUAAAAAAGGUAAGAAUUUAGCUAAGCAUAUGCAGAAAGAAAUGACCAGACUUGAAGCUGAGCUACGAAGUCCAGAGCCUUCUGCUUCUUGUUUAAAAACGUUGUUGAUGGAAAAGAAUUUGAAAAUUGAGGAGGUUUGUGUGUCUUGGGAAAUUCUUAAGUAAAUUCUACUUCAUCUUAAGCACUUAGCUCCUUGUUUAGUUUAAAAAUUUAAUCAAUUUUAAGAAUUCUGUUACUGGUUGAUCUCUAAGUUGCAGGGAGAUUCUUCUAGAAACUUAAAUUUCUUGAACACAGUGCUUUUGUUCCCUGUGUAGCUUUGGCAUCUCCACUUUACGCGAAUACGUUGAAAACACACACAAAGCAUAUGCUAGGUCUUUUCUUUAAUUGAAGCACCAGUUCUAUUUUAUUUUUUGCUUGGUAUAAUUGUUUUAUCUUUAAUUAUCAUUAUCUAACUAGAAUCAGAGGUCAAAAAAGUGCCAGACGUGCAUAUGCUAUUUUUUCAUCUUCAUAUGGUUUUUAUCUGUAAAUGACUUUUCUGAAUUGCAGAUGGAGAGGGAAAUGAAAGAGCUGAAAAGGCAGAGAGACAUUGCACAAUCCCAGCUUGAACAAGAAAGGAAAGCACACAAGGAGCAGAAGGUGCAAAGAAACCAGUGUGGGCCCUCUAGCCAAGUAGCCAGGUGUCUUUCUUUUCCUGUUGAGGAUGAGCCAUGCAAAGACAAACAUACUCCGGAAACAAGACAAAGAAAUGUAGUUGGAAGACAGGCAAUGAUUAGACAGUCAACCACUUCUACAGAUCCAUCAAUGCUUGUUCACGAAAUACGUAAGCUUGAGCAGCUGCAGAGGCAACUAGGUGAGGAAGCAAAUCGAGCACUUGAAGUACUUCAUAAGGAGGUUGCUUCUCACAGAAUGGGAAGUCAAGCAACUACAGAAACCUUAGCGAAGAUGCUGUCCGAGAUUAAGGACAUGCAAGUAGUCAACUCUGUUCCUGAAGAGAUUGUGAUUGGGGACAAGGCCAAUCUGAAGGAAGAGAUCACUCGAUUAAACUCUCAAGAAAGCACCAUUGCAUCUUUAGAAAGGAAGCUUGACAAUGUUCAGAAAUCUAUAGACAUGAUAGUUUCCUCUUUUCCAAUUAAUGAGGAGACUCCAGAUUUCAAGUCCCAAUUGAAGAAGAAGAAAACCUUUCCUUUUGCAUUGAGCAACAGUUCAAACAUGCAAAAUAUCAUAAGGUCCCCAUGCUCACCUCUGUCCUCUUCUCGAGGAGUGGUGGAGAAUGACAUUGAGAACAGAGUUCCUGAGAAUAGUAAUCUAUUGUUUAGUGACAAUAGAUUGCCUAAGCCAUCUGAGGUUACUCCCUUAAAGAGUAGUAAAAGUGACUGCUGUGCCUCAUCAAGAGAGGGAACUCCAACGUUGCGGUCAAAUUCAGUUAAUGUGAAGAAAAUGCAGAGAAUGUUCAAGAAUGCUGCCGAAGAUAAUAUACAAAGCAUUAGAGCUUAUGUUACUGAGUUAAAAGAAAGGGUAGCAAAGCUACAAUAUCAAAAGCAGCUUCUGGUUUGCCAGGUGUUGGAGCUAGAGGCAAAUGAGGCUGCAACUGUUGAGGCUGAUGCUACUGAACAGUCCCCCAUGGCCUGGCACUUGCUCUUUGAGGAUCAAAGAAACCAAAUUGUGAUGCUGUGGCAUUUAUGCCAUGUUUCAAUUAUACACAGAACACAAUUUUAUCUGUUAUUU